GUUUUCAAACUUAAUUCCGUAUAGGACAACACGAAACCAGAUGAGCUACAUACCUUUCUUUUUUAGAGGAAUUGUUUAGUGUAUCAUCACUAAUUAUUAAAAGGUAUUUAGGGGUGAUAGGCCUUUCAAAUCUGGUGAUAUCUUGAUGGGGAUUAAAUAUAUUUAGUAUAUCAAACAAUCUAAAAAUGGUUAGGUUUUUAGAGAAUAUAAAUUUAAUUCUAAAAUGGAUAGAUAUAAUAAAAUAUCCUAUGCUCUUGAGCUUAACAUUCAUAUAUUAACAAUUUAUAAAAUUAAAAUCCUCAUUUAGAUUUAAAUACCAAAUCUAAUUUAUUAUGAAAACACUAGUAUAAUAUAAAUUUUGAUAAAGGAACUCGGCAAAAAAAAUUCUCGACUGUUUAACAAAAACAAGUUUUAAGAAUUUAAUUUAAGAUUACCCCUGCUCAAUGAUUUUUAAAUAGCCGCAGUACCCUGACUGUGCAAAGGUAGCAUAAUCAGUUGGCUUAUAAUUGAAGUCUAGUAUGAAUGGGAAUUCGGGAAUUUGCUGUCUUAAUUGAAUAUUAAGAACCUACUUAAUAAGUGAAAAUUCUUAUAUUUAGCCAAUAGACGAGAAGACCCUAGAAAUUUUAUGUAUAUUUAAUUUGAACAUUUUGUUGGGGCGACAAGGGAGCAAAGAUAAACCUACCUAAAAAAAUAAGAAACUAAUAAGUUGGAUAAUUAAAUUACUCUAGGGAUAACAGCAUAAUACUAUAAAGUUUGUGACCUCGAUGUUGGACUAGGGAAUUGGUUAUCUAGAAGAUUACCUUGUGUGCUCUGUUCGAGCAGUGUCCCCUACGUGAUCUGAGUUCAGACCGG
Molecule: ribosomal RNA, 852 nt
Filed under: Euomphalia strigella
Lineage: Eukaryota; Metazoa; Mollusca; Gastropoda; Stylommatophora; Hygromiidae
Description: partial 16S ribosomal RNA
Source: RNAcentral